Molecule: ribosomal RNA, 104 nt
Filed under: Salmonella enterica subsp. enterica serovar Agona str. 392869-1
Lineage: Bacteria; Pseudomonadati; Pseudomonadota; Gammaproteobacteria; Enterobacterales; Enterobacteriaceae
Also listed under: 2 other names
Description: partial 23S ribosomal RNA
Rfam family: Bacterial large subunit ribosomal RNA
Source: RNAcentral
CUCCUGAAGGAACGUUGAAGACGACGACGUUGAUAGGCCGGGUGUGUAAGCGCAGCGAUGCGUUGAGCUAACCGGUACUAAUGAACCGUGAGGCUUAACCUUAC